AGCUUUAUGUUGAAGUUAUUUCAAUGCAUUGUGAAAUUAAAAUUUGCUGACUGAUGCAGUUUGAUUGAAGCGCAAAAAGUUGAUUGAUUAAUUUUGGUUAUUUACCGGGGUGCUAAGUAUUGGCGCCAAAGAAGGGCAAAGGCAAGCAGCCUAAGGCAGCCCUAAGUGUUGGUGACAAAGACAAGGACAAAGGCAAUGCUGCUGAGAUUGGAGUUUGAAAUUUGUUUAUUAACUUGGACAGAUUGCUAUAUUUAUAGGUUGUAUAGCUUGCAUAUAUUGUUGCAGACGUGGAACUCACCAACAAUGACAAGUCUUAAGAUCACUCCACACUUAAGGAUGAUGACAAAAAGAUUCGGUGAAACCAAAAAAAUUUUUUAAACUAUUUUUCUAAUAUGUUUGCGUUUCAUAUAUAACUUACGAGCGGAGAAGACUAAGAUCUAAAAUACUAUUAUAAAAGUAAAUCAAGUUGUUAUCUUUGGGAUUAUGACCCAAUAAUAAAAACCCAAGAAAUAACGUGUAAUAAUUUCAGAACCAUAAAAAUUAAUCAACUCAAUUCAAUGACAUAAACUUUGAACCCUUUGAAAUAAAUUUUUCCCAAGAUCCCAGUGAUGACCGGCAUUGCCAACAAUCAAGCAUCGGAAAAGCGUGAAGAGAGAGUGAGAGGGAGCAGACAGUUUACUCUAGUGCAGUCGACCAAGGAACGCGCUGUGUCAAUGGCAAGACAUAUUGGUAAUAAAUUGACUUCCACCGAAAGCCAAAAAGUGUGUUACGUUACUAAAUAAUCGGGUCAUUACAUUGGCGACGAGUGACAAUAUCGUUUUGCUGAAGGAGGACAACAUUCCACCGUUGAGAUGGCAGCUUGGGCUCAUCUAGGAAGUCAUAUCCGGCGGGGACGGCGACAUCAGAGUAGCCAUCGCCGAACUAGCCGUUCUGGCCAUAUAUUCCAAUAUAGUUGCAACCGUAACCCUUUCAAUAAGGGGAGUAUGUUCGGAGAACAUCGCUAGCGCAUAGUCAUGCGCGCAUAGGUCUCAUCUCGCCCUUCUUUCUUCUCUUGCUAAAACAGAGCAUAAAUAUACAUUAAUAUAAUCAAAAUAUAACCCUAAGAGUGGCAUAUUGGUUGUCUUCCCCGUAAACAAUUUGGUUUAUGAAAUAACAUGGCAAAUAGAUCGGUUAUUGCUUGAUUUAAUGUUACCGUAGUUUUUUUUAAGAAAUAGCGAGGAAGGGUACGAAAUUGGUUUGGAGGUAUGUUAGAGAUUGACGGUUAACAAAUUAUUUAAUUCCGGCUUUCGCAAUAAAAUUAUUUAACCUCCGAAAAAUGGCCUUGCGAAAACAAUGAAUUCGUUUGGUUGACUUCUGAUUUCUCUUUUAUUACCGUAACUAUGUCGAUUGUCACUCGAAAGUAGGUUGAUAUGGAUCUUCAGGUUGAGUAAGAAGCGCUACUCAGACAUAGAUCCCAUAAUCAACCAAGAGAGGUUUGGAUAUAAUUAACCUGCAUUUUGAUAGGAGACAACAUUAAUUUGCGACAGCCAUAAUUCGAGCCAGGCGUCAAAAAAGUCAUAAAGCCAAUAAAUUUCUUUAAGAAGAGAAGAAGAUAAUGGAAAUGGAUAGGCACAGGCAACCGGACUCGAAGAGAGAUACUUGGUGCCUGUUUUGGAUUCACGUUCUCGAUUGAACUUUAUAUCCGAAAAGUUCUCCCAAAGGCUUCGGCUGUCACGGAGCAACCUAUAGAUUCGAAGCAUGGGUGAGAGUUUACUUACGCCGGAGCAGCGAAACUGGAAGUUCGACUGCCAUUAAAAUUGUUAAAUACCGUUUUCUGAGCCUCGUUCGACAUUGCCAGGGCGAGAUUCCUAUCUCUUGAUCGCAGACUCUGAAAGAGGCCUAAGGUAAGCCCGAAUAUGUAAAGACCUAGGACACAUGUGUGUCGUAAGUCAUCCACAGUCAAACACUCCACAUAAUUAUAUUACUCACCACUGCGUGCUCAAGCCUAAUAUCACUUCAAUUAAACUUAGAGUGGUUUUUAAUGCAUCAGCCACGUCCUGAAAUCGCUCAACGAUUUUUUAUAGAUCCGACCUACCACAAUUAAGACAAAUCGUUGUACAUUUUUCCAUCGUUUUCGUAUACAUCGCUAUGCGAAGUAUGACUGCUGAUGUUAUUAAGAUGUUCCGCCAUAUCAACGUGUCAGCCGAGGAUCGCAGCUUCCAAUACAUCCUUUGAGGAGCUUUGCCAUUGCAAUCAUUGAGCACCUUCAAAUUGAGAACAUAUUGACAACUGAGGCUAAAGCCAUAAAAUCGCCGUUCUAUGUGAAUGACUUACCUGGUGGAGCGAAUACGGAAGUGGAACUAAAUUAAAUCAAAAGGGAAGUUACAGCUAUUCUACAGAAUGGCCAAUUGGCCUUAAAUGGGACCAAGUACGAGACAUAUUCAUGUUUUCGUUCUCACCAAGAAUUGAUUCAGACAACAUAUUCUUGCGUGGCUUGCGUCAUUGGAGUCUGUCGAGAUACCACGAUAUCGUCUCUAGGCAGCGCACUCUUCAGAUACACGGCUUCUGUGACGCCUCCAUAAGUGCUGCUGCAUCUACGCACGCAUACUGAAAUGUGCCAAAAUUCAGAGUUGCUCCCAACAAGAAACUAUCUCUAUCAAAGGUAGAAUUUUGUGGAGCACAUUUGUACGCAGAACUCUAGCAAAAUAUUAAAUCAAUCUUCGCAGACAGAGAGCCAAUCUAGUACUUAUGGUGCGAUUCUCUAAUUGUUCUAUAUUGGAAUCACUCGGCCACAUUAUCGAACUUUGUCGGCAAUCGAAUUGCUGAAAUUCAAGAAAUUACAUUAGAACGCCACUGGAGGCAAGUUCCUACUGUGAGGAGUUAAAACUCUGCACAAACGCAGAUGUCAACUGCGGAACGAGGGCCUACCUGUUGUCAAUUACGCAACAAAUCAGCCCGUAGUAACGUCAUUGCAAGAGUGAUGGUUUGGAGAAAGGGAUUUUAUAGAAACGGAAUUUGUAAAGAGAGAGUUUGGAGAAACAGAGUCUGGUCAAUGGGAGAUUGAGAGUCUAAAGGAACAGAGUUUGGAGAAAUUCAAUGGGGAGAGCGCGAGUGAACCUGAAAAAAAUGAAGUUAAAAAGAGGGUACAUGCCUGCCGAUACGAAGCUGAACUUUGGACGAUGCAAACAGUAAUGCCGUGGAGUUUGGAUCUGGAGGCAUCAAGGAAUAAUGGCUAAGGGUGGUCUAUAUAAGCAGGCUGAGCGCUGAAAGUCGAUAAGAACGAGAAAACAAUCGAACAACUCGAAGCAACUUUGUCGCAUCGCAGUCGAGAAGGAGGCAGUAGCGGGACAGGCGAAAAAAAA
Drosophila sechellia is the source of this 3341-nucleotide long non-coding RNA. RefSeq lists it as uncharacterized. The record is from RefSeq and is a predicted model, not a curated record. NCBI's taxonomy places the organism in Eukaryota, Metazoa, Arthropoda, Insecta, Diptera, Drosophilidae. The transcript is spliced from 2 exons.